This 652-nucleotide ribosomal RNA is filed under the name uncultured Actinomycetes bacterium. RNAcentral's name for it is "bacterial SSU rRNA". It matches the Rfam family "Bacterial small subunit ribosomal RNA", at positions 51 to 715 of the family's 1533-position model. The record is from RNAcentral. Lineage: Bacteria; Bacillati; Actinomycetota; Actinomycetes.
ACACAUGCAAGUCGAACGGUGAAGGAGAGCUUGCUCUCCGGAUCAGUGGCGAACGGGUGAGUAACACGUGAGCAAUCUGCCCCUGACUCUGGGAUAACUUCGGGAAACCGUAGCUAAUACCGGAUAUGACGCGUGAAGGCAUCUUCUGCGCGUGGAAAGAAUUUUGGUCAGGGAAUGAGCUCGCGGCCCUAUCAGCUUGUUGGUGAGGUAAUGGCUCACCAAGGCGACGACGGGUAGCCGGCCUGAGAGGGUGACCGGCCACACUGGGACUGAGACACGGCCCAGACUCCUACGGGAGGCAGCAGUGGGGAAUAUUGCACAAUGGGCGAAAGCCUGAUGCAGCAACGCCGCGUGAGGGACGACGGCCUUCGGGUUGUAAACCUCUUUUGUCAGGGAAGAAGCGAAAGUGACGGUACCUGAAGAAAAAGCACCGGCUAACUACGUGCCAGCAGCCGCGGUAAUACGUAGGGUGCAAGCGUUGUCCGGAAUUAUUGGGCGUAAAGAGCUCGUAGGCGGUUUGUCGCGUCUGCUGUGAAAACGCGAGGCUCAACCUCGCGCCUGCAGUGGGUACGGGCAGACUAGAGUGCGGUAGGGGAGAUUGGAACUCCUGGUGUAGCGGUGGAAUGCGCAGAUAUCAGGAAGACACCGAUGG